AUUCAACAGGACCAAAGCCGAACUACCCGGGAAGGCAGCGAUAGCACCACAACACGGAUGCCGGAGCCGGGGACAGCGUAAGGGAGCUGGGGCCCCGCCUCCUCCAGACGUGACCACUGUCAGCCGAAGAAAACCUUUAAAAUCUAGUAUGAGAAUACAGAAAAAACAUGGUUCCCAGAUCUGGUUAUGCUGAUGCCACGUCACUACCUAUACAACAUCCUUGAGAUCUCACAUCAUCAUACAAUCCAUCCGGGGCUUUCUGUCAUCCCUCUUCAGGAUAAUCACAACACCCUCCUUCUAUGACAUCUACACAUUUUUCCAUUUGAUGGCACAGAGGCAACAUUCUCUUCUUCUGAUUUGUUCUCAGAGAUUACACAUAAUAUCCAAGGAGAAACUUGUACAAUUUGCUGUCCUCUGCAAUGUAAGGCAUCAUUCCAAACUACUGACAAGGGGAGAAGAUGGACAAAAAGCAUCAGUGGUCAGUUUCAGCCAGUUCGCACCAGUUCAGCAGAACCGGUAGCUAAUUUUUUGUUGCCCAGGCCCAGAAUGGACUUCCAGAAGCGGCAUCCACACAGAGAACCAGCUGUUCACAUAUUUGAAUACCACCACCAAAAAGCAGCAUAUCAUAUUGCUUGGUUUGGUAAUAAAACUAGAAAACUGUUGCAUCUUGUACAAUGUUCUUGCUGAUUAAAAUGACUCUUCAUUUAUGGACCCUAAAUAACUACCGUAUAUGCCGGCGUAUAAGGCGACCCGGCAUAUAAGACGACCCCCGUCUUCGGCGCCAAGUUGCAUGCCUAGAAAGUCGUCUUAUACACCGGAAACUACCAGUAUUUCCAGCGUAUAAGACGACUCGGCGUAUAAGACGACCCCCGACUUCGGCGCCGAUUUUAACCCUUGCGAAAGUCAUUUUAUACGCCGGAAUAUAUGGUAGUCACUCUAUUACACUUUGCUCAGUUAAUUUAAUUUGAUUAUUCAUGACAUCUAUUUUGUAGAAGGAUUUCUAAACCUGCUUUUCCACCUGUGGGCUCUGAUCUUGGACUUUCUCUUAUAUAUUUUCUCUCCUUAUUUCUCUCCUUCUACUUGACACGAAUAACUGCCACAUGAUUUUUUUCAAUAAUUAAAAAACAUGCCAGUGUUGUCAUUUGUCAAAGAAACUGCUUAUUUUUCUAGACACUAAUUUAUUUAUUUAUUCAUUCAUUCAUUUAUUUAUUUAUUUACUUAUUUAUUUAUUAUUUUAUAAUACUUUCAACAUUCGCUGCUAGAUAAAGUCUUCAUAAAAAGCAUAAUAAAUUAGGCAAAUGCCAUUUGAAGUUUAAGGUUUGGAGUGAAUAAUGCAGAAGACAAAAAACAACAACAGAUACAUAGAAGAAUGAAUACAUAACAACAGUAUUUUCCAAACAAUUGCCUGAGUUUUCUCUCUUCUAAUGAGAUUGUAUUUUCGAAAGCACUUUUGAAGAGCACAUCACUAAUGUCUAAACUGUUCAGCCCUUAAGUAAGUGUGCAUUUAAAUAACACUUAUGCAUAGGCACACACAAUCUUUUGAAAUUCCUGAACCCACUGAGCAAAUUCAGUGGGGAUUUUAAUUAACUAUUAAGUACUGCACUAUUCACAACAAAGUAGUUGCUCCACUCUGUAGGAAAACAUUCAGUAAAACAUAUUGGAAGAUGAGAGGAGAAAAACAAAGCGUAAAAGCCAUUAUAGGAAGGCAAUAAUUGGAGAGGCAUGACAGUAUCAUAAUGGAGACUGCAUCCUGUUCUAUAGCAGUUCAAGCAAGCAAGCACAAGGACUUUGUCAAGAAAUAAUACUGAGUGUCUCAUGACACAAUAAUAGGCAAUCAAGAAGUCCAACAGUCAUUCCAAAGUUAGCAAGCUAGACUAAUAGUUCUCAGUUGCAGACCAAGUAGGGCAGGUGAAGAAGUCUUAAGGUCACAGGAUAAACAAUCACGCAGUAGACAGACUAAUGAGGAAACACUGAUAGAAUACUAUUCUACUGAAAACUUAAUAUGGUAAUAUUCCUGGCUCUGGCUUCAAGGCUCUACAGUUUCAAUUGAUAUUUAACAAAGUUAAAUCAUCCAAAGAGGCAUAAAAGGAUUCACAAAUUAACCCUUUAGCUUAAGAAAGUUUACACAACAAAUACGCCCUUUAAUAAUUAUGACACUACAGAAGGCUCUUUCAGUAUACAUCAUAAAGAGGAACUAAAGUUUAAUUUUCUUAACUAUUUUAUCACCUCCAAGAAACCUGUAAGUCUGGGAAAUAUCCCACCCUACUAAGCUAGCUCUAGAUUAACCAUUGAAAAAAUAAGGACAUGAUUGACGAAUAGUGCCUGCGAAGGAGAAGGUGGUGCGAUGGACUAUAGUGAAGUAGCUGUUUCCUAGGAAGAAGGGAGCACAUUCCAAGUAGGAGGCGAGACAAGAGAAAGCACAGCCCAGAAGUGGACUGGAGUCCCAAAGGUGUUUUUUUCAAGAGGCAACUGGACUUUUUUGUUUUUCUUUGAAGAUGUUUUGCUUCUCAUCCAAGAAGCUUCUUCAGCUCUGACUGGUGGGAAUCCCACAUUGCGAUGCCUCUACUGAGAUUAGCCAAUGCCAGUUAGAUUAAUAACUGACUUAAGUAAUUUUCUUUCCUUAUUUUUUUUUCCAUUCUGGAUGAUUUAUUAAAUUUUCACAAUUCUGGUAACUCUCCUUUAGCUAAAGUGUUAUUUGCAAUUCUUGAGUUUCUAGGAGUUUGCUUUCCUUUCAGAAGUUUUCCAACCAUAUUUGUCAGUUGAGGCAAUUAACAAACAAUAAUAGUGCACCUAUGAUGAUAACAUAAAAAAUCUUGAUUAUCAAUAAUAAAAAAUAAAAUUAAAGCUAAACAAACUUAAAUUUCUUGCCCAGUGUGAAAGCAAGCAAGUAAGAAUCUCAGGUUUCCAACUCUGAGAAAAUGAAAUAAAUGGGACAUGCCCAGAAUAAAUAUCACAGAAAGUGACUAUGAUUGGUUGGUUAUGUACCAUCCAAAUUCUUUUCAACUCUUAGUGACCACAUAAAUAGAUUUUUUUUCCCCAUGGCAAUCUGUUCUUUUAAGUCCUUCACUGGUGCAGCCCUCAUCAGUACUGUAAAUGAGUGCUGCUGAUCACCAUCCUCUUCUCUUUUCCAUCUUUCCUGGCAUUAGAGCCUUAGAGAAUUGGAUCUUUGCAUAAUGUGCCUGAAGUAUCAUAACUGGAACCUGAUCAUUUGUGCCUUGAGGGACAACUAUGAGUUGAUUUGUUCAAUGAUUCAUCCAUUUGUUUUUGUUUUUUCUUGACUAUCCAUGGUAUUCUCAGAGGUCUUCUCCAACACCAAAGUUUAAAGUCAUCCAUAUUCUUCCUACCUUACUUCUUCAAAGUCCAAAGUGACCAUGGCUAAAGUAAAAGCCAUAUUUUUUUUUCAAAUCCAUCAUAAAUCAAUUUCCUGUUUUAUCUAACAUUGAUAAUAUUAACAUUUAAUUUAACUUAUUUAAUUAAAAACAGAAGCAAUUGUUGAGGGAAUGUUGCCCCAAAAGCCUCAUAAGCCACUAUGAGAUAUGAAUGGGAUCAGAAAUGACACAAUGGUGAUGUAUCAUAUUUGACAAGUUGGCUAUCCCAUUUGAUAUUUUGAGUACAUAUGAAGGAGCCUAUUAAACUGCAAGUAGCAAAUCCAAUAUCACAGAAUUUAUUCUCUCAAAAUCCAGACUGAAAUGAUUCCCUACUUUCUUUUUACCUUGAUACAAACAGAAUAUUGUUACAGGCUGAUAAUAGUAUCAUUUGAUACUAUUUGAUAGUGCAAAUGGAAUGAGCUGCUUAUUACACCAGUCAUUAUGGAAAAUACAGUAUCUGCUAUUUGACAAAACUGUGAAGGGUUUUUUUCAUCGGACUCAUAAAGCCAAAGAAAUUGAUAAGAGGACUAUCCCUUUUCUAAAGUUCUGUACCUUUCAGAACUGAAAAUUCUAGUUUCUCUAAAAGAGUAGAAGGAAUAAAGCAAAAACCUCUUUAAAAUGCAGCAUAGGGUAAACUGUGGGGCAAAGAAUUUCCUAUCACUUUCCAACAGAACUGCUUGUGAACAUCUAAAGAAUAAAUGACUGACUCCUUAUUCAACAUGAAAAAAAGUUUGGACAAUAAUCUAGACCAGUGGUUCUCAACCUUUUUAAUGCUGCGACCCCCAACCGGUCGUAAGUCAAGGACUACUCAACCGGUCAUAAGUCGAGGACUACUCAACUGGUGGA
This is a long non-coding RNA of Crotalus tigris (Tiger rattlesnake), 4214 nucleotides long. RefSeq lists it as uncharacterized. NCBI's taxonomy places the organism in Eukaryota, Metazoa, Chordata, Lepidosauria, Squamata, Viperidae. The record is from RefSeq and is a predicted model, not a curated record. The transcript is spliced from 5 exons.